This 249-nucleotide ribosomal RNA is filed under the name Escherichia coli. RNAcentral describes it as "partial 23S ribosomal RNA". It matches the Rfam family "Bacterial large subunit ribosomal RNA", at positions 1291 to 1543 of the family's 2925-position model. The record is from RNAcentral. Lineage: Bacteria; Pseudomonadati; Pseudomonadota; Gammaproteobacteria; Enterobacterales; Enterobacteriaceae.
CGAAUGCUGACAUAAGUAACGAUAAAGCGGGUGAAAAGCCCGCUCGCCGGAAGACCAAGGGUUCCUGUCCAACGUUAAUCGGGGCAGGGUGAGUCGACCCCUAAGGCGAGGCCGAAAGGCGUAGUCGAUGGGAAACAGGUUAAUAUUCCUGUACUUGGUGUUACUGCGAAGGGGGGACGGAGAAGGCUAUGUUGGCCGGGCGACGGUUGUCCCGGUUUAAGCGUGUAGGCUGGUUUUCCAGGCAAAUCC